GCCCCGUUAGUCUAGCGGCCCAGGACGUCACCCUUUCAAGGUGAAGACCACCGGUUCGAAUCCGGUACGGGGUACCA
Molecule: transfer RNA, 77 nt
Filed under: Thermomicrobiales bacterium
Lineage: Bacteria; Pseudomonadati; Thermomicrobiota; Thermomicrobia; Thermomicrobiales
Description: tRNA-Glu
Rfam family: tRNA
About the family: Transfer RNA (tRNA) molecules are approximately 80 nucleotides in length. Their secondary structure includes four short double-helical elements and three loops (D, anti-codon, and T loops).
Source: RNAcentral